Molecule: small nuclear RNA, 90 nt
Filed under: Fukomys damarensis (Damara mole-rat)
Lineage: Eukaryota; Metazoa; Chordata; Mammalia; Rodentia; Bathyergidae
Description: U4 spliceosomal RNA (ENSFDAG00000019651.1)
Rfam family: U4 spliceosomal RNA (bases 1-77)
About the family: U4 small nuclear RNA (U4 snRNA) is a component of the major U2-dependent spliceosome.
Source: RNAcentral
AGCUUUGUGCAGUGGCAGUAUCAUAUCCAGUAAGGUUUAUGUGAGGCAUGGUUAUGCUAAUUGAAAACUAUAGUAAGGUAAUGAUCAUGC